UGCGGCUUGAGAUCCCGAUCUGGAAAUUGAAGAGUUGGAGCAGUGUGACUUGGUAAGAUGCCUAUCUGGAAGUUGAUGAGAGAAAAUCUGGGACAAAUACCGUGAUGGUUUCGUUAUGGAAGAAGGCGCUGAUGAACUGGCAAUGGAGAGCUUGGAAAGCACAUUGAACAGAGGAGCUUCAAAAUCUUUCUCCUUCACACGAUUGGAGCAACCCUAGAUCUAAAAGGAGAAAAUGCCAGGA
This is a non-coding RNA of Prunus avium (sweet cherry), 241 nucleotides long. The record is from RefSeq and is a predicted model, not a curated record. NCBI's taxonomy places the organism in Eukaryota, Viridiplantae, Streptophyta, Magnoliopsida, Rosales, Rosaceae.